CCUACGGGUGGCAGCAGUGAGGAAUAUUGGUCAAUGGCCGUAAGGCUGACCCAGCCAAGUCGCGUGAAGGAAGAAGGAUCUAUGGUUUGUAAACUUCUUUUAUAGGGGAAUAAAGGUAUCCACGUGUGGAUAUUUGCAUGUACCCUAUGAAUCAGCAUCGGCUAACUCCGUGCCAGCAGCCGCGGUAAUACGGAGGAUGCGAGCGUUAUCCGGAUUGAUUGGGCUUAAAGGGUGCGUAGGUUGUUUUUUAAGUCAGAUGUGAAAGUUUGUGGCUCAACCAUAAAAGUGCCGUUGAAACUGGAAGACUUGAGUGUGUUUGAGGUAGGCGGAAUGCGUGGUGGAGCGGUGAAAUGCAUAGAUAUCACGCAGAACUCCGAUUGCGAAGGCAGCUUACUAAGCCAUAACUGACACUGAGGCUCGAAAGUGUGGGUAUCAAACAGGAUUAGAUACCCCAGUAGUC
This 460-nucleotide ribosomal RNA is filed under the name uncultured bacterium. Its description in RNAcentral is "partial 16S ribosomal RNA". It matches the Rfam family "Bacterial small subunit ribosomal RNA", at positions 338 to 795 of the family's 1533-position model. The record is from RNAcentral.